CAGCAAGAUAGACUGGGGUGCUGGUUCUACCUUGUAACCGCAAAUGAACCUUAUGGCGGAGUUGAAUGCUGGGAGCGGGAUAUUAUUCCUGUUUUGGUCUCAGGCCUUACGUUGACGCUUCGUCCUACAGGGUCGUUAUUUAAAUGAAUCAGGUCAGGCCAGGAAUGGAGCAGCCUUAAAUUUUUGUGAUGGCGCUUGUGGGGGAACGGAGCCGAGGAAAGUCUGGGAGAAGCUAGAAUAGGGGUAAUAUAACAAUUUCAGAGUUCUUGCUG
This 272-nucleotide signal recognition particle RNA is filed under the name Nanobdellota archaeon. RNAcentral describes it as "signal recognition particle sRNA". It matches the Rfam family "Archaeal signal recognition particle RNA". Lineage: Archaea; Nanobdellati; Nanobdellota. The record is from RNAcentral.